Molecule: non-coding RNA, 85 nt
Organism: Jatropha curcas
Lineage: Eukaryota; Viridiplantae; Streptophyta; Magnoliopsida; Malpighiales; Euphorbiaceae
Source: Rfam
UUUGGGAGAUGAUGAGAAAAUUCAAACAAAUUCAGAGGCAUCAGCUCUGCUGAGGAUUUAUUUUGCACGUCAGUCUGAUCCCGAA